AGCUUAGAUUUUGCGUGUGCAUGCAUAUAGUCCUUAUAAAGUCCAGAUAUAUUUUUAUUUAGCUAAACUGACAGAAGUGCAAACAUUACAGAGAACCCCAUGGGUGGGGUUUAAACACAAAUAAUUAAAUACUAUUCUAUCUACAUGUUAGAUGUGAAUGUUGUUUCUGUUUAUAACAUAUAUCCACAUACUGUAGCGAUCCAUGUCUCCCUCAUAAGCAUUCUUCUAUUAUGGGUUAGUGCAUAUGAAAAGUAUUUUUGAAAUAGCCACACACACAAAAAAAAUCAUAAUUGUCAAUUAUGUGAUAUUGUAUUUACAGUUCAUUUUGAUUAAUGAAAUUUACAUUGUUUUCUUUCAUUAUCUUGUAAACUUAUGGAUUAAUUGUAACACAAUGUUAAACUUUAACUUUUCUUUGUAAAGAAAAGUUUUCAAGUCGGGCAUGUUGUAGGAUUUUGGAAUAGAACAAAAUUGUACUAUAUUUUAGAUAAAAAGAUAAUAUAAAGUUCGAUUUGGUGACUUACACACCCAACUCAGAAAUGGAAAAACAACAUGUGCAUAUGGCUCCAUAACGUUGAGCAGUAAAGGAAUAGUUCACCCAAAAUUAAAAUGCUGUCAUCAUUUACUCCCUCUCAUGUUGCUACAACCUGGUAUAAAUGUAUUUGUUCUGAUGAACAUAAGAUAUUUUGAGGAAUGUUUGUAAUUUAAUUGUUAAGCCCCAUUCACUUCCAUAGUAGGACAAAAGAAUACUAUGUAAGUGAAUGUGGCUCCUGAACGGUUAAAUUACGAACAUUUCUCAAAAUUCCCGCGUGUUCAUUAGAGCAAAUAAAUUUAUACAGGUUUAGAAUCUUAGGGUUAGAAAAUACUAGCGUAAUAGUUAAAAAAAAAGUUAAAUAAAAGAUUAAAUAGAAAAAGAUUAAAUUGUCCUAUAUGACAUAGAACAACCAAAAGUUUUAAAUUCACGAUUUAAUAAUAAUUUAAUGCGAUUAAAAAUGUUUAUGUAGUUUUCUAAGAUGUUUAUUUAUGUAAAUGCUGUGUGUGUAUGCUGCGGGUGCUGAACGUUACUGCUUCUUUAAAUCCGUUGGAGUGACGUGAGUUACCAUGGAAACGAGGCUACUAGGAACAACAGAAAGCGACAAAGCUCCGUGUCUCUUGUGGUUUUCUUCACUUUUUCAGAAGUGACAAAAUAACCCCAUAAUAGAAAAUAAGCUCAAGAUUUCUGCAUUUUCGAAUGGAGCUGCAGUGCUGACAGAGAGAUGUUGUAAACUCAGAUUUGUCUAUGCUGAUGGCCAUGCAGCAGAGUUCAAGCAAACCUGUCAGAAAACAUCUCUAAGGGGCUAUGUAUGAACCAUAUGGAUACCCAUACAAGUUACAGAAGCUCCAGUAUGGAUCCAGCCUCACUUGUAAAGACUUCAGAUGACGCCUACACUCUCAGAGACUUCAGAUGAUGGCAACUAGAUGGACAUACAAGACUGCCAAACAUUAUAUAUAUAUUGCACUCACUGCCUCAAAGCAUAACUUUGCAGAUUUUCAACCCACGUUAUAUUUUUACAAUAAAUUGGGGUAUUUGAAUAGACAAUGUUAACACUUUAACUUAAAUUCCCAAUUAGUUCUUGACAAUACUCUGCCAGAUGACAGAUUACAUAUAUUACAGACAUUGUAACAAUACAAAGUGGGUUGGAAAUCUGUAAACUUCCUCUAUAAUCAUAAUUGUCUGUUUAACUGAGCAUGACUUAAUACAAGGCAUGUGUUAUCUUAGAGCUAUAUGAUUGCUGUAUUAACAUCAGUUCGUUACUUAAUGAGAUUUAUGCUUAUCCCUAGUUUCACAGACAAGGCUUAAGCCCAUAGUCCUAGAUGUUUGAGCUGUCUCAAUUGAAAAGAACUUUCAAUGUGAGAUUUUAAAAUAAGCCAGUGCCAGUGAUUUGUCUUAAGAUAGACACCAGUAACAAUUUUUUCUACG
Non-coding RNA from Misgurnus anguillicaudatus (oriental weatherfish), 1957 nucleotides. NCBI's taxonomy places the organism in Eukaryota, Metazoa, Chordata, Actinopteri, Cypriniformes, Cobitidae. The record is from RefSeq and is a predicted model, not a curated record.